RNAcentral lists this unclassified non-coding RNA (345 nucleotides) under soil metagenome. RNAcentral's name for it is "partial contains 5.8S ribosomal RNA, internal transcribed spacer 2, and large subunit ribosomal RNA". The stretch from base 1 to 120 matches the Rfam family "5.8S ribosomal RNA", at positions 35 to 154 of the family's 154-position model. The record is from RNAcentral.
GAUGAAGAACGUAGCGAAAUGCGAUAAGUAGUGUGAAUUGCAGAAUUCAGUGAAUCAUCGAGUCUUUGAACGCACAUUGCGCCCUCUGGUAUUCCGGAGGGCAUGCCUGUCCGAGCGUCAUUGCUGCCCUCAAGCACGGCUUGUGUGUUGGGCCCCGCCCCCCGAUCCCGGGGGGCGGGCCCGAAAGGCAGCGGCGGCACCGCGUCCGGUCCUCGAGCGUAUGGGGCUUUGUCACCCGCUCUGUAGGCCCGGCCGGCGCCUGCCGAUCAACCAAACUUUUUUCCAGGUUGACCUCGGAUCAGGUAGGGAUACCCGCUGAACUUAAGCAUAUCAAUAAGCGGAGGA